Molecule: ribosomal RNA, 253 nt
Filed under: uncultured bacterium
Lineage: Bacteria
Description: partial 16S ribosomal RNA
Rfam family: Bacterial small subunit ribosomal RNA
Source: RNAcentral
UACGUAGGGGGCUAGCGUUGUCCGGAUUUAUUGGGCGUAAAGCGCGCGUAGGCGGCUUUACAGGUCCGUUGUGAAAACUCGAGGCUCAACCUCGAGACGCCGGUGGAAACCGUAAAGCUAGAGUCCGGAAGAGGAGAGUGGAAUUCCUGGUGUAGCGGUGAAAUGCGCAGAUAUCAGGAAGAACACCCGUGGCGAAGGCGGCUCUCUGGGACGGUACUGACGCUGAGACGCGAAAGCGUGGGGAGCGAACAGG